RNAcentral lists this ribosomal RNA (2901 nucleotides) under Escherichia coli HVH 41 (4-2677849). RNAcentral describes it as "bacterial LSU rRNA". It matches the Rfam family "Bacterial large subunit ribosomal RNA". The record is from RNAcentral. Lineage: Bacteria; Pseudomonadati; Pseudomonadota; Gammaproteobacteria; Enterobacterales; Enterobacteriaceae.
UUAAGCGACUAAGCGUACACGGUGGAUGCCCUGGCAGUCAGAGGCGAUGAAGGACGUGCUAAUCUGCGAUAAGCGUCGGUAAGGUGAUAUGAACCGUUAUAACCGGCGAUUUCCGAAUGGGGAAACCCAGUGUGAUUCGUCACACUAUCAUUAACUGAAUCCAUAGGUUAAUGAGGCGAACCGGGGGAACUGAAACAUCUAAGUACCCCGAGGAAAAGAAAUCAACCGAGAUUCCCCCAGUAGCGGCGAGCGAACGGGGAGCAGCCCAGAGCCUGAAUCAGUGUGUGUGUUAGUGGAAGCGUCUGGAAAGGCGCGCGAUACAGGGUGACAGCCCCGUACACAAAAAUGCACAUGCUGUGAGCUCGAUGAGUAGGGCGGGACACGUGGUAUCCUGUCUGAAUAUGGGGGGACCAUCCUCCAAGGCUAAAUACUCCUGACUGACCGAUAGUGAACCAGUACCGUGAGGGAAAGGCGAAAAGAACCCCGGCGAGGGGAGUGAAAAAGAACCUGAAACCGUGUACGUACAAGCAGUGGGAGCACGCUUCGGCGUGUGACUGCGUACCUUUUGUAUAAUGGGUCAGCGACUUAUAUUCUGUAGCAAGGUUAACCGAAUAGGGGAGCCGAAGGGAAACCGAGUCUUAACUGGGCGUUAAGUUGCAGGGUAUAGACCCGAAACCCGGUGAUCUAGCCAUGGGCAGGUUGAAGGUUGGGUAACACUAACUGGAGGACCGAACCGACUAAUGUUGAAAAAUUAGCGGAUGACUUGUGGCUGGGGGUGAAAGGCCAAUCAAACCGGGAGAUAGCUGGUUCUCCCCGAAAGCUAUUUAGGUAGCGCCUCGUGAAUUCAUCUCCGGGGGUAGAGCACUGUUUCGGCAAGGGGGUCAUCCCGACUUACCAACCCGAUGCAAACUGCGAAUACCGGAGAAUGUUAUCACGGGAGACACACGGCGGGUGCUAACGUCCGUCGUGAAGAGGGAAACAACCCAGACCGCCAGCUAAGGUCCCAAAGUCAUGGUUAAGUGGGAAACGAUGUGGGAAGGCCCAGACAGCCAGGAUGUUGGCUUAGAAGCAGCCAUCAUUUAAAGAAAGCGUAAUAGCUCACUGGUCGAGUCGGCCUGCGCGGAAGAUGUAACGGGGCUAAACCAUGCACCGAAGCUGCGGCAGCGACACUAUGUGUUGUUGGGUAGGGGAGCGUUCUGUAAGCCUGUGAAGGUGUACUGUGAGGUAUGCUGGAGGUAUCAGAAGUGCGAAUGCUGACAUAAGUAACGAUAAAGCGGGUGAAAAGCCCGCUCGCCGGAAGACCAAGGGUUCCUGUCCAACGUUAAUCGGGGCAGGGUGAGUCGACCCCUAAGGCGAGGCCGAAAGGCGUAGUCGAUGGGAAACAGGUUAAUAUUCCUGUACUUGGUGUUACUGCGAAGGGGGGACGGAGAAGGCUAUGUUGGCCGGGCGACGGUUGUCCCGGUUUAAGCGUGUAGGCUGGUUUUCCAGGCAAAUCCGGAAAAUCAAGGCUGAGGCGUGAUGACGAGGCACUACGGUGCUGAAGCAACAAAUGCCCUGCUUCCAGGAAAAGCCUCUAAGCAUCAGGUAACAUCAAAUCGUACCCCAAACCGACACAGGUGGUCAGGUAGAGAAUACCAAGGCGCUUGAGAGAACUCGGGUGAAGGAACUAGGCAAAAUGGUGCCGUAACUUCGGGAGAAGGCACGCUGAUAUGUAGGUGAAGUCCCUCGCGGAUGGAGCUGAAAUCAGUCGAAGAUACCAGCUGGCUGCAACUGUUUAUUAAAAACACAGCACUGUGCAAACACGAAAGUGGACGUAUACGGUGUGACGCCUGCCCGGUGCCGGAAGGUUAAUUGAUGGGGUCAGCGCAAGCGAAGCUCUUGAUCGAAGCCCCGGUAAACGGCGGCCGUAACUAUAACGGUCCUAAGGUAGCGAAAUUCCUUGUCGGGUAAGUUCCGACCUGCACGAAUGGCGUAAUGAUGGCCAGGCUGUCUCCACCCGAGACUCAGUGAAAUUGAACUCGCUGUGAAGAUGCAGUGUACCCGCGGCAAGACGGAAAGACCCCGUGAACCUUUACUAUAGCUUGACACUGAACAUUGAGCCUUGAUGUGUAGGAUAGGUGGGAGGCUUUGAAGUGUGGACGCCAGUCUGCAUGGAGCCGACCUUGAAAUACCACCCUUUAAUGUUUGAUGUUCUAACGUUGGCCCCUGAUCGGGGUUGCGGACAGUGUCUGGUGGGUAGUUUGACUGGGGCGGUCUCCUCCUAAAGAGUAACGGAGGAGCACGAAGGUUGGCUAAUCCUGGUCGGACAUCAGGAGGUUAGUGCAAUGGCAUAAGCCAGCUUGACUGCGAGCGUGACGGCGCGAGCAGGUGCGAAAGCAGGUCAUAGUGAUCCGGUGGUUCUGAAUGGAAGGGCCAUCGCUCAACGGAUAAAAGGUACUCCGGGGAUAACAGGCUGAUACCGCCCAAGAGUUCAUAUCGACGGCGGUGUUUGGCACCUCGAUGUCGGCUCAUCACAUCCUGGGGCUGAAGUAGGUCCCAAGGGUAUGGCUGUUCGCCAUUUAAAGUGGUACGCGAGCUGGGUUUAGAACGUCGUGAGACAGUUCGGUCCCUAUCUGCCGUGGGCGCUGGAGAACUGAGGGGGGCUGCUCCUAGUACGAGAGGACCGGAGUGGACGCAUCACUGGUGUUCGGGUUGUCAUGCCAAUGGCACUGCCCGGUAGCUAAAUGCGGAAGAGAUAAGUGCUGAAAGCAUCUAAGCACGAAACUUGCCCCGAGAUGAGUUCUCCCUGACUCCUUGAGAGUCCUGAAGGAACGUUGAAGACGACGACGUUGAUAGGCCGGGUGUGUAAGCGCAGCGAUGCGUUGAGCUAACCGGUACUAAUGAACCGUGAGGCUUAACCUU